Molecule: ribosomal RNA, 253 nt
Filed under: uncultured bacterium
Lineage: Bacteria
Description: partial 16S ribosomal RNA
Rfam family: Bacterial small subunit ribosomal RNA
Source: RNAcentral
UACAGAGGCCUCGAGCGUUAGGCGGAAUCACUGGGCUUAAAGCGUGUGUAGGCGGACUUCUAAGUACCUUGUGAAAUCCCACGGCUCACCCGUGAAACUGCUCGGUAUACUGGUCGUCUUGAGCCUUCUAGGGGCGAGUGGAACAAAUGGUGGAGCGGUGAAAUGCGUAGAUAUCAUUUGGAACGCCAAUGGUGAAAACAACUCGCUGGGGAAGUGCUGACGCUGAGACACGAAAGCCAGGGGAGCGAACGGG